UCUAGCUACAGGCUUAACACAUGCAAGUCGAGGGGCAGCAUGGUCUUAGCUUGCUAAGGCCGAUGGCGACCGGCGCACGGGUGAGUAACACGUAUCCAACCUGCCGUCUACUCUUGGACAGCCUUCUGAAAGGAAGAUUAAUACAAGAUGGCAUCAUGAGUCCGCAUGUUCACAUGAUUAAAGGUAUUCCGGUAGACGAUGGGGAUGCGUUCCAUUAGAUAGUAGGCGGGGUAACGGCCCACCUAGUCUUCGAUGGAUAGGGGUUCUGAGAGGAAGGUCCCCCACAUUGGAACUGAGACACGGUCCAAACUCCUACGGGAGGCAGCAGUGAGGAAUAUUGGUCAAUGGGCGAGAGCCUGAACCAGCCAAGUAGCGUGAAGGAUGACUGCCCUAUGGGUUGUAAACUUCUUUUAUAAAGGAAUAAAGUCGGGUAUGGAUACCCGUUUGCAUGUACUUUAUGAAUAAGGAUCGGCUGACUCCGUGCCAGCAGCCGCGGUAAUACGGAGGAUCCGAGCGUUAUCCGGAUUUAUUGGGUUUAAAGGGAGCGUAGAUGGAUGUUUAAGUCAGUUGUGAAAGUUUGCGGCUCAACCGUAAAAUUGCAGUUGAUACUGGAUAUCUUGAGUGCAGUUGAGGCAGGCGGAAUUCGUGGUGUAGCGGUGAAAUGCUUAGAUAUCACGAAGAACUCCGAUUGCGAAGGCAGCCUGCUAAGCUGCAACUGACAUUGAGGCUCGAAAGUGUGGGUAUCAAACAGGAUUAGAUACCCUGGUAGUCCACACGGUAAACGAUGAAUACUCGCUGUUUGCGAUAUACUGCAAGCGGCCAAGCGAAAGCGUUAAGUAUUCCACCUGGGGAGUACGCCGGCAACGGUGAAACUCAAAGGAAUUGACGGGGGCCCGCACAAGCGGAGGAACAUGUGGUUUAAUUCGAUGAUACGCGAGGAACCUUACCCGGGCUUAAAUUGCAGAUGAAUUACGGUGAAAGCCGUAAGCCGCAAGGCAUCUGUGAAGGUGCUGCAUGGUUGUCGUCAGCUCGUGCCGUGAGGUGUCGGCUUAAGUGCCAUAACGAGCGCAACCCUUGUUGUCAGUUACUAACAGGUUCCGCUGAGGACUCUGACAAGACUGCCAUCGUAAGAUGUGAGGAAGGUGGGGAUGACGUCAAAUCAGCACGGCCCUUACGUCCGGGGCUACACACGUGUUACAAUGGGGGGUACAGAGGGCCGCUACCACGCGAGUGGAUGCCAAUCCCCAAAACCUCUCUCAGUUCGGACUGGAGUCUGCAACCCGACUCCACGAAGCUGGAUUCGCUAGUAAUCGCGCAUCAGCCACGGCGCGGUGAAUACGUUCCCGGGCCUUGUACACACCGCCCGUCAAGCCAUGGGAGCCGGGGGUACCUGAAGUGCGUAACCGCGAGGAGCGCCCUAGGGUAAAACUGGUGACUGGGGC
This 1442-nucleotide ribosomal RNA is filed under the name uncultured organism. RNAcentral describes it as "SSU rRNA". It matches the Rfam family "Bacterial small subunit ribosomal RNA". The record is from RNAcentral.